This 1266-nucleotide long non-coding RNA is filed under the name Olea europaea subsp. europaea. The record is from RNAcentral. Lineage: Eukaryota; Viridiplantae; Streptophyta; Magnoliopsida; Lamiales; Oleaceae.
AUCUCUUGUCAAUGACUUGUCAUUUUUAUUGAUUUUGCAUUUGAGGUUUACAACACCUAUCCUCAGGCAAGAGAAUAAGAAAUUUUUCCCUGUAUAGACAUACACUUACCUCAACACUCUGUUUUUUUAUUGUUUUGUGAGACAUUCUUGCCAUCAUGGACAGCAUGAAUUUUUCGAUAUUUGGAGUUGGGCCUAUAAGGUUGUGAUAGGGAAAUCUUUGCCUUUUUAUCUUGCUAUGGUAAUUAAACAACUAAAAUGAUUCGAUCCUACACCAAAAAGGGUAUUAUGAUAAUUCUGUCUUCACCAGGCUGCUAAAAAUUACAUAUUGGAGGCUGGCAAAUUCUUUCAUGUUGUUUGAUGGUUGACUGGACUUUCCUCCUUAGACGUCAUGGGAAAUUUAUCGUAGAAUUGAAAUCAAUAAAUUUAUUAAUUUUCUUGUAAACUAUAUAUGUUGCCAACCAGUUCAAAAUUCAGGCCUUCCUUUUUGUUUAUAAAAUUUUGCCUCUAAAUGUACUUUAUACUUAUCUGAUUACUUUUAUUACAGGGUGAAGUUGAUUGCCCAUUUUACCUACAAACUGCCUGGUUAGUACAUUGUGUAACAACUGGAGCACAUUUUAGAAGAGAGAAAUAGUGAGAUGUCUGAUUGCUUUGAAAUGCGUUGUUUAAUUGAUCAGCUGCAAGCAUGGUACCAUAUGUCACUACAAUCAUCCUAAAAGAAAUGGUAAAUGGGUGUGUUCAUCAUGUUUUGACAUUGUUCAGUUGACCUAAUGUUUCAAUUAUUAAACUUUCUUUUCCAGUAAUCAACCCCUCUUGCAACUGCUAUCGCACCUGUUAUAGAUUCUUCUCCUACACAUUUUAGCUUUGGAGAUGUUACUCCAGCAACCUCCAUCCUUCCAACUUUUGAUUCUAGGGUAACUUAGACGUCAGUAAUUGUUUUUAUGCUUUCUUCUGGUUCACAACAUCCUUAUGAUGCAUGAAAUUAAUUAAUUGAGAUUGUCGAGUGUCUAAUAUUUUGCACACUAUAGUUUAUCUUGAAUUUUUUUAAGUAAGUAUUCUUUGAUUUUGUGGUAAUUUUCUCUUUUAGUUUGUGGGAUUUUAUCUAGAUAAGAAAAUGUUGUUGAAAUUAUUGAGAAUUUUUCGUUUAGAUUUUAUUUGAGUUAUGAGGAAAUGGUGAUGAACUACUUGUAGGCUUCAUUAUUUUUCCAUGGCUUAUAUGAACAUUUAGUGUGUUUAAGCCAUAUUAUCCUGAAAUAAUGUGUUUUUGAA